UACGAAGGGGGCUAGCGUUGUUCGGAAUCACUGGGCGUAAAGCGCGCGUAGGCGGAUGUGUAAGUCAGGGGUGAAAUCCCGGGGCCCAACCUCGGGAUUGCCUUUGAAACUACAUAUCUAGAGACUCGGAGGGGAUAGCGGAAUGCCUAAUGUAGGGGUGAAAUCCGUAGAGAUUAGGAGGAACACCGGUGGCGAAGGCGGCUAUCUGGACGAGUACUGACGCUGAGGUGCGAAAGCGUGGGGAGCAUACAGG
RNAcentral lists this ribosomal RNA (253 nucleotides) under uncultured bacterium. Its description in RNAcentral is "partial 16S ribosomal RNA". It matches the Rfam family "Bacterial small subunit ribosomal RNA", at positions 524 to 776 of the family's 1533-position model. The record is from RNAcentral.